RNAcentral lists this ribosomal RNA (780 nucleotides) under Ochrobactrum sp. CR3. RNAcentral's name for it is "bacterial SSU rRNA". It matches the Rfam family "Bacterial small subunit ribosomal RNA", at positions 1 to 770 of the family's 1533-position model. The record is from RNAcentral. Lineage: Bacteria; Pseudomonadati; Pseudomonadota; Alphaproteobacteria; Hyphomicrobiales; Brucellaceae.
GCCCCGGGCCCCCCUUAGGUUUUUUUAGGGGUUUUUUAACGCUCAGAACGAACGCUGGCGGCAGGCUUAUUAACAUUUCAAAAUGAGCGGGCCCUUCGGGGUCAGCGGCAGACGGGUGAGUAACGCGUGGGAACGUACCAUUUGCUACGGAAUAACUCAGGGAAACUUGUGCUAAUACCGUAUGAGCCCCCCUUUAAAAUUUCAGGAAUCAUAAAAUGCCCUGGCAUUUUAUGGGGGGGAAAGAUUUAUCGGCAAAUGAUCGGCCCGCGUUGGAUUAGCUAGUUGGUGGGGUAAAGGCCUACCAAGGCGACGAUCCAUAGCUGGUCUGAGAGGAUGAUCAGCCACACUGGGACUGAGACACGGCCCAGACUCCUACGGGAGGCAGCAGUGGGGAAUAUUGGACAAUGGGCGCAAGCCUGAUCCAGCCAUGCCGCGUGAGUGAUGAAGGCCCUAGGGUUGUAAAGCUCUUUCACCGGUGAAGAUAAUGACGGUAACCGGAGAAGAAGCCCCGGCUAACUUCGUGCCAGCAGCCGCGGUAAUACGAAGGGGGCUAGCGUUGUUCGGAUUUACUGGGCGUAAAGCGCACGUAGGCGGGCUAAUAAGUCAGGGGUGAAAUCCCGGGGCUCAACCCCGGAACUGCCUUUGAUACUGUUAGUCUUGAGUAUGGUAGAGGUGAGUGGAAUUCCGAGUGUAGAGGUGAAAUUCGUAGAUAUUCGGAGGAACACCAGUGGCGAAGGCGGCUCACUGGACCAUUACUGACGCUGAGGUCGAAAAGAAGCC